This 601-nucleotide long non-coding RNA is filed under the name Salvia miltiorrhiza (redroot sage). RNAcentral describes it as "long non-coding RNA (SMIL_LNC013691)". Lineage: Eukaryota; Viridiplantae; Streptophyta; Magnoliopsida; Lamiales; Lamiaceae. The record is from RNAcentral.
AUUAUUCAAUACAUUUUUUAUUUGAUGAUUUUUUUUUCAGUAAAAUAAAGCAUUAAAUAAAUUUGUUUUAAAGUAAAAGAUGUUAACUAAAUAUAUUUUUACUAAUAUUUAGUCAAACAAUUCUCUCAACUCAAAAGCUAAUUGUAAGAAACUAAUUUUAGACACUUCCACCAAUCCAAUCUGAUUAUGAUGAUUUUAGAAAUUUCCGAUGCUUAAAAGUCAACUUCUGUCUCCCCCUCCAAAAAAAAAAAAACAGCAAAUUCCGAAGUCCUAAGCCGAAACAUGAUAUUGUAAAAGAUGAAAUAUAUCCAUCCUCAUAUAACACAUUAUUGUAAUUAUUAAAAUGCGGUUUUAUAUAAAAGGAAAAAGAAAAAGGAUCUCAUGAAAGCACAAAGACGCAGACUAUGAGAAAGAGACUCAAAAAGAGAUCAAGGUAAAACAACGAACAAAGAACUCCCAAGCCUGAAACAAGGGGCCCGAAGUUCAAGAAGGAGCUCGUCAAAAGAAAGACAAAAAUAAAAAGAGGAAACGCAGGAAGCCUAAAACUUCAGCGUACAGAAACUCAAUCUCAAGAAUGAUCCAUGUUGUUGCAGAAAUCGUC